CUUCGGAACGCUGACGACCGGCAGACGGGUGAGUAACGCGUACGCAAUUUACCUUUAACAAAGGAAUAGCCCCGGGAAACUGGGAUUAAUACCUUAUAGUAUCUUAAUACCGCAUGGUAUAAAGAUUAAAACUUCGGUGGUUAGAGAUGAGCGUGCGUCCCAUUAGCUUGUUGGUAAGGUAACGGCUUACCAAGGCAACGAUGGGUAGCUGGUCUGAGAGGAUGACCAGCCACACGGGCACUGAGACACGGGCCCG
Molecule: ribosomal RNA, 256 nt
Filed under: uncultured bacterium
Lineage: Bacteria
Description: partial 16S ribosomal RNA
Rfam family: Bacterial small subunit ribosomal RNA
Source: RNAcentral